AAUGCCUUUGGUUACCGGAAAAGCAGAUCCACAAGCGAUGUCUUAGGGUUUUUUUUUCUUUUUCGGGUGAGGAACAUGGCUUUUCAGGUGGCUUUCUUCAAUAGAUCCCUUCUGGCCUCCAAGCACGACUAGCUCUAGGAUUCGGAUUGCCGAUCGACAAGAGAAGAGGUGAAUAACUCUUGGGUUGCAGAAAAGAAGAGGUUCAUCAUUCAAUCAACAUCAAUCUACCAGCUCUACAACCAAGCAAGAUACAAUGAGGCUGUGUACUUAAGAGAGCCUCGCUCCACCCAAACCUCAUACUCUUACCUGGUCGUAUUUAAUUGGAGUUACCAAAAGGGUUGAGUAAUAACUUUUCAUUCCUUGGCAGACCAGCUUGAGCCCAGCAGGCCCACUCUCCCUCUGCGGGACCUAGCAGCCCAGCAGGCCUCACACACCAUUUAAAUUACGCAUGAAAGGCCGGGUCACAAGCCCGCAGACUAAGCCCGAUAGGCUUCACUAUCAAGCCCACUCUUUCUUUGGUCCAGCAGAACCAAAUAAAAGGAAAAAUGAUUUGAUUCUACUGAGAUUUGAACCCAGACAAUGUGCAUGUCAUUAUGGCUAUUGUAAAUAAAUUCACCAUAUUUCAUAUGUGUAAUUAAUUGCCAGAAGCAUUUAUUCACAUAAUUGUGUGACAAUUAAUAUGUUAUAUUACUAGCAUGCAAUUAAUAUCUCAAUUGAUUUGUGAUUUCCAUUUAUUCAAUUUGUGAGAUAUUAUUUCAAUUUGCUCUAUUCAAUAUUAUUGUGUUACUUGUCUAAAUUUUCGCACUAGAAUAUAUGUGUAGAAAAUGCAGGUACCUAAUGAACUAGAAGUUCUAAAUGAACCAGUAGUUCAUACACAUAUCGAACUUGUAGUUUCGAUAAUGUCAUUUAAGAAACUUGAAGUUUCCUUCAUAAAUUCACCACACAUGAUAAAACCAGUAGAUUUUACAUGUUUAAUCCGAUUUUUCAUACCAUGUUAUAGAACCUGAAGUUCCUAUUAGUUGCUUAUGGACGAUAUUACCCAAAGCACUAAGAUUAUUUGUUCCUUUCCUGUAAGAAAUACCAAAUCUCAACAAACUUGACUUUGUUUCUUUGGAGGUUUC
Molecule: long non-coding RNA, 1121 nt
Organism: Rosa rugosa (rugosa rose)
Lineage: Eukaryota; Viridiplantae; Streptophyta; Magnoliopsida; Rosales; Rosaceae
Exons: 3
Source: RefSeq, a predicted model, not a curated record